Molecule: non-coding RNA, 203 nt
Filed under: Lachnoclostridium sp. An131
Lineage: Bacteria; Bacillati; Bacillota; Clostridia; Lachnospirales; Lachnospiraceae
Also listed under: 1 other name
Source: RNAcentral
UUCCAUAGAAAGGUAUUAAGUGCCUGUCCAGGCGCUGCUGUUUGGGCGGGAAAAGGGAAUCAGGUGCAAGUCCUGAGCGAUCCGGUCACUGUAAACAGGGAGCAUCCCCCGCAUAAUCCAUUGUACGGAGAGUCCGUAUGAGAAGGAAGGGGAAGAUGUGUCGAUCUGUAAGCCAGGAAACCUGCUUAAUGCUGAAGGAGAAA